UACAGAGGUCUCAAGCGUUGUUCGGAUUCAUUGGGCGUAAAGGGUGCGUAGGUGGCGCUGUAAGUCGGGUGUGAAAUUUCGGAGCUUAACUCCGAAACUGCAUUCGAUACUGCGGUGCUUGAGGACUGGAGAGGAGACUGGGAUUCAUGGUGUAGCAGUGAAAUGCGUAGAGAUCAUGAGGAAGACCAGUGGCGAAGGCGGGUCUCUGGACAGUUCCUGACACUGAGGCACGAAGGCCAGGGGAGCAAACGGG
Molecule: ribosomal RNA, 253 nt
Filed under: uncultured bacterium
Lineage: Bacteria
Description: partial 16S ribosomal RNA
Rfam family: Bacterial small subunit ribosomal RNA
Source: RNAcentral